ACUCUAGUAGCCCAAUGGAAGAGGCAAACGGCUUAAACCCGUUGUAGUAUAGGUUCGAAUCCUAUCUAGAGUA
This 73-nucleotide transfer RNA is filed under the name Aureispira sp. CCB-E. Its description in RNAcentral is "tRNA-Leu". It matches the Rfam family "tRNA". From Rfam's summary of the family: Transfer RNA (tRNA) molecules are approximately 80 nucleotides in length. Their secondary structure includes four short double-helical elements and three loops (D, anti-codon, and T loops). Further hydrogen bonds mediate the characteristic L-shaped molecular structure. tRNAs have two regions of fundamental functional importance: the anti-codon, which is responsible for specific mRNA codon recognition, and the 3' end, to which the tRNAs corresponding amino acid is attached (by aminoacyl-tRNA synthetases). tRNAs cope with the degeneracy of the genetic code in two manners: having more than one tRNA (with a specific anti-codon) for a particular amino acid; and 'wobble' base-pairing, i.e. permitting non-standard base-pairing at the 3rd anti-codon position. Lineage: Bacteria; Pseudomonadati; Bacteroidota; Saprospiria; Saprospirales; Saprospiraceae. The record is from RNAcentral.